Non-coding RNA from Peromyscus maniculatus bairdii (prairie deer mouse), 183 nucleotides. The record is from RefSeq and is a predicted model, not a curated record. NCBI's taxonomy places the organism in Eukaryota, Metazoa, Chordata, Mammalia, Rodentia, Cricetidae.
AGAGAGAGAGAUUUUCUUAAUAUGUAAAUGUACAAAAGAGGUAUGUGGCUAUAUGAAGAUUUUAUGGAGAAUGUAACAAUGUGGAAUGUAUUUAUAUGGAGACAGAGAGAUUUUCAGAGAAAGGGAUUUUUCUAGAUGAAGUAAGAGUAAGUUACCAUCAGAAAGUGUAUGUGUUUCCUUAUU